RNAcentral lists this ribosomal RNA (732 nucleotides) under uncultured bacterium. Its description in RNAcentral is "bacterial SSU rRNA". It matches the Rfam family "Bacterial small subunit ribosomal RNA", at positions 8 to 731 of the family's 1533-position model. The record is from RNAcentral.
AGGGUUUGAUCAUGGCUCAGAUUGAACGCUGGCGGCAUGCCUAACACAUGCAAGUCGAACGGAAACGAUGGGAGCUUGCUCCCAGGCGUCGAGUGGCGGACGGGUGAGUAAUACUUAGGAAUCUACCCAGUAGCGGGGGACAACUCGAGGAAACUCGAGCUAAUACCGCAUACGCUCUACGGAGGAAAGCAGGGGAUCUUCGGACCUUGCACUAUUGGAUGAGCCUAAGUCGGAUUAGCUUGUUGGUGAGGUAAAGGCUCACCAAGGCGACGAUCCGUAGCUGGUCUGAGAGGACGAUCAGCCACACUGGGACUGAGACACGGCCCAGACUCCUACGGGAGGCAGCAGUGGGGAAUAUUGGACAAUGGGGGCAACCCUGAUCCAGCAAUGCCGCGUGUGUGAAGAAGGCCUGCGGGUUGUAAAGCACUUUCAGUAGAGAAGAAAAGCCUAGGGCUAAUACCCCUGAGUCUUGACGUUACCUACAGAAGAAGCUCCGGCUAACUCCGUGCCAGCAGCCGCGGUAAUACGGAGGGAGCGAGCGUUAAUCGGAAUUACUGGGCGUAAAGCGCGCGUAGGCGGCUUUGUAAGUCGGAUGUGAAAGCCCUGGGCUCAACCUGGGAAUGGCAUUCGAUACUGCAGAGCUAGAGUAUGGUAGAGGGAAGUGGAAUUUCCGGUGUAGCGGUGAAAUGCGUAGAUAUCGGAAGGAACACCGGUGGCGAAGGCGACUUCCUG